RNAcentral lists this ribosomal RNA (253 nucleotides) under uncultured bacterium. Its description in RNAcentral is "partial 16S ribosomal RNA". It matches the Rfam family "Bacterial small subunit ribosomal RNA", at positions 524 to 776 of the family's 1533-position model. The record is from RNAcentral.
UACGAAGGGGGCUAGCGUUGCUCGGAUUGACUGGGCGUAAAGGGCGCGUAGGCGGUUUGUACAGUCAGACGUGAAAUUCCCGGGCUCAACCUGGGGGCUGCGUUUGAUACGUACAGACUUGAGUUCGGAAGAGGGUCGUGGAAUUCCCAGUGUAGAGGUGAAAUUCGUAGAUAUUGGGAAGAACACCGGUGGCGAAGGCGGCGACCUGGUCCGAUACUGACGCUGAGGCGCGAAAGCGUGGGGAGCAAACAGG